CUAAUGUGACUUGGCAUAGGAGGCUACUUCCUGUGGUGCACUCAAGAUGUUUAUAAACACAUUGAAAACGCGUGGAUUUAAAGGUAGCCCUGUUUGCAGAUGGAAAAAGUCAGAAAAUUCCGUGUAGGUACCCUGUUAUUUGGUGUCAGCUAAUGUGACAGGGCAUAGGAGGCUACUUUCUGUGGUGCACUCAAGAUGCUUAUAAACACAUUGAAAACACGUGAAUUUGAGGGUAGCCCUGUUUGCAGAUGGAUACAGUCAGAAAAUGCCGUGUAGGUACCCUGUUAUUUGGUGUCAGCUAAUGUGACAGGUAAUGUUUAACACCUCCUUGUGAAUAUUUUUUCAUGAAUUCAAAUAUCUGAUUUUUUACGAUUUUUUAUGCUAUAUAGAAUUAUAUAGUGAAAACAAUUGCCGGUGUGAUAC
Saccostrea echinata is the source of this 423-nucleotide long non-coding RNA. RefSeq lists it as uncharacterized. NCBI's taxonomy places the organism in Eukaryota, Metazoa, Mollusca, Bivalvia, Ostreida, Ostreidae. The record is from RefSeq and is a predicted model, not a curated record. The transcript has 3 exons.